GCUGUCCAGUCUGCUUGGCCACACGCAGCCUGCCGCAAGCGAAACUUGCGUUGCCUCUGACUUCUGCCGCGACGUUCUCGCGUCCCUCUGCAGCUGUUUCCGAUUGCGCCACCUCUAGCGAGCAAACAGCGGAGCAUCAUCGACGUAGAAGACCUGUGAUGGCGUCCGCCUAGAGCGGCGGCCGAUCGUGUGGCGAAGGAGGCAGCUCUUGGGCGGAGGCUCGUCUGCAGUAUGGCGACGGCGGCGGCGGCGGCGGCGAUGACGCGGACGCGAACGCGGAGGCGGCGGUGGCGGCCGCAGUGGUGCGCCGCGCUGGUGUCGCUGCUGGUGCUGGUGGCG
Molecule: long non-coding RNA, 339 nt
Organism: Schistocerca serialis cubense
Lineage: Eukaryota; Metazoa; Arthropoda; Insecta; Orthoptera; Acrididae
Exons: 3
Source: RefSeq, a predicted model, not a curated record